CUUAAACUGUUUCAGCUGCCUGGACAAGACUUAUAUAGUUAUUCAAUAUCAAUAAGAUGACCAUUAGUAUGAAUUUAAGUAUCUUUAUCUUCAUAAAACAACUUUUUUUAUGAUAAACUUUUCUUUUUAAUUAAUUCAAAAUGUCAAGUGUGUUAAAUGUCCUCCUUUACAUCAUAAACCAUGUUGGUGCUCCUACUAAAGGAGAAGAUACAGAACAUACAUACAUGCAGUUGCAUUUUAAUGAGCCAAUGAGUAAUCAUAUCAUAUUCAUGUUUGAUAAAGGGUAGAUAACUUAGUAAGCUAUUAAAAAUAUCACAAUAUCACAAAUAUUACAAAUUUAAAGAUCCUACCUGCUUAUCACGAAAAGAAGUAAGCUUGUAGAAGUAAUACAUUGAAAAACAAGAGUAUACAAUUUAAAAUUGUGUUUAAGGAGGUAGAUCUAUGUAAUGGGAAAUAACUCUUAAAAUCUUCAGCAUGUUUGCGUCAACCAUUUUCAUAAAUAUGUUCUAAGCUUCCAAGUUACAUAGAUUAUUUCCAAUCUGUUUCUGGUCAAAGCUUAAAAUACAAAACUUGACUUUUAUAAAAGCAUAACUGAUUUAAAGAGUAUCUCCCAAAAUUAAGGUCUACCCCCUGAAGGACUACAAAACUGCAGUGAAUUCUGUCAAAUUGGAUGUUGAAGAAAAAAAUAUCUGUGUUUUGAAAACAAUUUAUAUAUCUGUUUUCAUAUAACUGUUUGAUCAUAUAGCCAUACAGUGUUUGCUAUUUAGAAUGGUACAUUAUUAUACAGACAGGUUUCAUUAUAAAAUUAAACAGACAGGUUUCAUUAUAAAAUUAAACAGACAGGUUUCACUGUAAAUCCAGUGGUUGUAUUGUAAAAAAACAAAAAAAUUGCGUUGUGAAUUAAGUAGAUUUUUCUUGACAAAGUGUAUAAUUUAAUCUUAAUAAAACUUAUAUUUAAGUAUAAAAUAUUCUGUGACUUGGUGAAGUCAGUGAUGUAAUUAAACAAGUUUUAUGUCUAAGCAGAAGUUGGUAUCUAGAGAGUAUUUUUCCCUUGUUUAAAGCUAAUUUCCUAAUUCAUGUACAAUAAGACUUUUAUUAGGUUGCUUGCUGUGUUUGUAUACAGUAAAACUGUUGUUGGGAUAAGGAUUAGAUAUAUACAGGUUUAACUAUGAUUGUCUGUAUUGUUUGCAUUACAGUGCUCGAGCAUAUAUUUAUACAAACAAAGCAAGCAAGUCAACCAAAGUCUUAAUCUACAAGCUUAAGGAAAUGAGCUCUAAAAAUAUAUUUUCUGAUCAGAGAUUGACAUAUGUGUGGACCAUGUUGGUUUCACAUGAGUUUUUUUGUAAAUUGGCAGUAAAUAUAGAAACCUAUCUUAAGGAGGUAGACCUAGGUUAAGGGAAAUAACUCUUAAAAUCAUCAGUACGUUUGUGUCAGCCAUUUUCAUAAAUAUGGUCUAAGCUUCUUGGAUACAUAGAUUAUUUCCAAUCUGUUUCAGGUAAAUGCUUAAAAUACAUUGAUGAAACUUGACUUUUACAAACCCAUAACUGAUUUAAAGAGUUAUCUCCCUGAACCAAGGUCUAACAUCUUAAAUAUCAGAGUGAAGUUAAAAAGAAAUUAUCACAAAAAUAUAUAAUUAUCUUUACGAGACCACUUCAGAUUUUAAUACUGUUGCUAAGUUGUUGAAUUUUAUAACUUCAUUGUCCAAAAAUAUAGUUUUUAAGACAUUUUGAUUUUCAUACUGAGUUGCGUUGGAGACAAUUUCA
This 1763-nucleotide long non-coding RNA is filed under the name Mytilus galloprovincialis (Mediterranean mussel). Lineage: Eukaryota; Metazoa; Mollusca; Bivalvia; Mytilida; Mytilidae. The record is from RNAcentral.